Schistosoma rodhaini is the source of this 45-nucleotide non-coding RNA. The record is from Rfam. Lineage: Eukaryota; Metazoa; Platyhelminthes; Trematoda; Strigeidida; Schistosomatidae.
AUCUAGCUGAUGAGUCUCAAAUAGGACGAGACGAGAGUCUUGAAU